RNAcentral lists this ribosomal RNA (433 nucleotides) under uncultured bacterium. Its description in RNAcentral is "partial 16S ribosomal RNA". It matches the Rfam family "Bacterial small subunit ribosomal RNA", at positions 29 to 507 of the family's 1533-position model. The record is from RNAcentral.
AACGAACGCUGGCGGCAUGCCUAACACAUGCAAGUCGAACGAGACCUUCGGGUCUAGUGGCGCACGGGUGCGUAACGCGUGGGAACCUGCCCUUAGGUUCGGAAUAACUCCCCGAAAGGGGUGCUAAUACCGGAUAAUGUCUUCGGACCAAAGAUUUAUCGCGUUUGGAUGGGCCCGCGUUGGAUUAGGUAGUUGGUAGGGUAAAAGCCUACCAAGGCGACGAUCCAUAGCUGGUCUGAGAGGAUGAUCAGCCACACUGGGACUGAGACACGGCCCAGACUCCUACGGGAGGCAGCAGUGGGGAAUAUUGGACAAUGGGCGAAAGCCUGAUCCAGCAAUGCCGCGUGAGUGAUGAAGGCCUUAGGGUUGUAAAGCUCUUUUACCCGGGAUGAUAAUGACAGUACCGGGAGAAUAAGCUCCGGCUAACUCCGUG